GCCGCUUUAGCUCAGUCGGCAGAGCAUCUCACUCGUAAUGAGAAGGUCGUCAGUUCGAUUCUGACAAGCGGCUCC
RNAcentral lists this transfer RNA (75 nucleotides) under Microbacterium oxydans. RNAcentral's name for it is "tRNA-Thr". It matches the Rfam family "tRNA". From Rfam's summary of the family: Transfer RNA (tRNA) molecules are approximately 80 nucleotides in length. Their secondary structure includes four short double-helical elements and three loops (D, anti-codon, and T loops). The record is from RNAcentral. Lineage: Bacteria; Bacillati; Actinomycetota; Actinomycetes; Micrococcales; Microbacteriaceae.